Molecule: ribosomal RNA, 531 nt
Filed under: uncultured Lactobacillus sp.
Lineage: Bacteria; Bacillati; Bacillota; Bacilli; Lactobacillales; Lactobacillaceae
Description: bacterial SSU rRNA
Rfam family: Bacterial small subunit ribosomal RNA
Source: RNAcentral
GUGCCAGCCGCUGCGGUAAUACGUAGGUGGCAAGCGUUGUCCGGAUUUAUUGGGCGUAAAGGGAACGCAGGCGGUCUUUUAAGUCUGAUGUGAAAGCCUUCGGCUUAACCGAAGUCGUGCAUUGGAAACUGGGAGACUUGAGUGCAGAAGAGGAGAGUGGAACUCCAUGUGUAGCGGUGAAAUGCGUAGAUAUAUGGAAGACACCAGUGGCGAAAGCGGCUCUCUGGUCUGUAACUGACGCUGAGGUUCGAAAGCGUGGGUAGCAAACAGGAUUAGAUACCCUGGUAGUCCACGCUGUAAACGAUGAAUGCUAAGUGUUGAGGUUUCGCCUUCAGUGCCGCAGCAAACGCAUUAAGCAUUCCGCCUGGGGAGUACGACCGCAAGGUUGAAACUCAAAGGAAUUGACGGGGGCCCGCACAAGCGGUGGAGCAUGUGGUUUAAUUCGAAGCAACGCGAAGAACCUUACCAGGUCUUGACAUCUUCUGAUAACCUAAGAGAUUAAGGUGUUCCCUUCGGGGACAGGAAUGAACG